GAUGAACGCUGGCGGCGUGCUUAACACAUGCAAGUCGAACGAUUGAAGCUGGAGCUUGCUCCGGCCGAUUUAGUGGCGGACGGGUGAGUAACGCGUGGGUAACCUGCCUCAUACAGGGGGAUAGCAGUUGGAAACGACUGGUAAAACCGCAUAAGCGCACGGUGUCGCAUGACACAGUGUGAAAACACUCCGGUGGUAUGAGAUGGACCCGCGUCUGAUUAGCUAGUUGGUGAGGUAACGGCCCACCAAGGCGACGAUCAGUAGCCGGCCUGAGAGGGUGAACGGCCACAUUGGGACUGAGACACGGCCCAAACUCCUACGGGAGGCAGCAGUGGGGAAUAUUGCACAAUGGGGGAAACCCUGAUGCAGCGACGCCGCGUGAGUGAUGAAGUAUUUCGGUAUGUAAAGCUCUAUCAGCAGGGAAGAUAAUGACGGUACCUGACUAAGAAGCACCGGC
RNAcentral lists this ribosomal RNA (457 nucleotides) under uncultured bacterium. RNAcentral's name for it is "bacterial SSU rRNA". It matches the Rfam family "Bacterial small subunit ribosomal RNA", at positions 28 to 497 of the family's 1533-position model. The record is from RNAcentral.